UGGUGACUAGAUUUCUGCACUUCUCGAAAC
This 30-nucleotide non-coding RNA is filed under the name Mus musculus (house mouse). RNAcentral also lists the same sequence under 1 other name. The record is from RNAcentral. Lineage: Eukaryota; Metazoa; Chordata; Mammalia; Rodentia; Muridae.